CCUACGGGGGGCUGCAGUGGGGAAUUUUGGACAAUGGGGGCAACCCUGAUCCAGCCAUGCCGCGUGAGUGAAGAAGGCCUUCGGGUUGUAAAGCUCUUUCGGCCGGGAAGAAAUCGGCGACUCUAACAUAGUCGCUGGAUGACGGUACCGGACUAAGAAGCACCGGCUAACUCUGUGCCAGCAGCCGCGGUAAUACAGAGGGUGCAAGCGUUGCUCGGAAUUAUUGGGCGUAAAGGGCAGGUAGGUGGUCUCGUUUGUCGCGGGUGAAAUCCCUGAGCUUAACUCAGGAAGUGCCCUCGAAACGGCGAGACUAGAGUUCUGGAGAGGGUCGUGGAAUUCCCGGUGUAGCGGUGAAAUGCGUAGAGAUCGGGAGGAACACCAGAGGCGAAAGCGGCGACCUGGACAGAUACUGACACUCAAGUGCGAAAGCGUGGGGAGCAAACAGGCUUAGAUACCCCUGUAGUC
This 465-nucleotide ribosomal RNA is filed under the name uncultured Pseudomonadota bacterium. RNAcentral describes it as "bacterial SSU rRNA". It matches the Rfam family "Bacterial small subunit ribosomal RNA", at positions 338 to 795 of the family's 1533-position model. Lineage: Bacteria; Pseudomonadati; Pseudomonadota. The record is from RNAcentral.